This 432-nucleotide ribosomal RNA is filed under the name uncultured Bacteroidota bacterium. RNAcentral's name for it is "bacterial SSU rRNA". It matches the Rfam family "Bacterial small subunit ribosomal RNA", at positions 9 to 438 of the family's 1533-position model. The record is from RNAcentral. Lineage: Bacteria; Pseudomonadati; Bacteroidota.
GAGUUUGAUCAUGGCUCAGGAUGAACGCUAGCGGCAGGCCUAAUACAUGCAAGACGAACGGUAAGUUGUGUAGCAAUACAUGACCUAGAGUGUCGUAAGGGUGCGUAACACGUAUGCAAUCUGCCCGGAACUGGAGGAUAGCUCGCCGAAAGGCGAAUUAACACUCCAUAGGAUGGUAGGGAGGCAUCUCCUAGUCAUUAAAACUACGGUGGUUUCGGAUAAGCAUGCGGAUGAUUAGCUAGUUGGUGAGGUAACGGCUCACCAAGGCGAUGAUCAAUAGGGGAACUGAGAGGUUGAUCCCCACACUGGCACUGAGAUACGGGCCAGACUCCUACGGGAGGCAGCAGUAGGGAAUAUUGGACAAUGGGUGCGAGCCUGAUCCAGCCAUGCCGCGUGCAGGAAGACGGCCUUCUGGGUUGUAAACUGCUUUUG